CGCCGCUCCGCCGCCGGCUCCGCCGGGCAAAGCAAGUGCAGGCUGGCAAGUGUACAUGAAACCUCCGAAUCUGCAGUGGGUGUGAAGCAUGGCUCUUGCUGCUGUGAUCCACUAGCCUAGAGCAACAAAAAGAGGUUCUUUAAAAUAUGUGCAGCAUCUAUGUAAGAUCAUCAGCAACGGAUGUGCAAGAUUUUGAACCUAUGUGUAUCGAUAGUUCACAGAAGAGUUCACUGAGGAGAGGUUUGGAGGGAGUGUUUUGUUUCUGACCUUCAGAACAGGAAGAAUUUGGUGGCAAUGGAUCUUGUGCAAACCUGAGUCCCUCAAUAAAAUAAAGUGUAAACAGAUAAGAAGACUUCUAUGAAAUUCUGGGACAGUCUCUGAAGUGUCAGUGACACCUUUGAAGGUGGAUGAAUGGAUCAAUUUGGCACAUGCUGGAGAGAAGAAACAACAGCAUCUAAAAAUGCGAUCGUGAUAAGCCAUGAAUACCAAGUGGGUCAGUACCUUCCUUGUUCAGAGGACCAAGUUAUCUUCCAGGCUUGUGGCAUAGCAUGGGAGGCAUAUGCAGCAGGCGUCACCAUAGGAGCAGCUUCAUAACUACAAGAAAUGGAGAAAUGUUUCUCCUUCUCAUAGAUUCAACUGGCAAGUAAUAGAUGUUUGUGUGACAUGAUGAAUUCAAUGGGUAUGUUUAAUCCCUUUGGCAAAUCACAUUUCACAACUUCUGACAAGAAACAUCCAUUAAGUACUCUUCCUACCCUCAGAAUUGUGUGUGACCUGUGGCACAAUUCAGUACAUUGAUCGAUGCACAGUGAAGAAUACUGGAAAUGUGGACUGAGUAAUAAGCAACAGUAGAGACUGAAAUUGCAACUACCGGAAAACAGGUGAUAAAGUUGGAGUCACUGUUGGUGUUUAAGAAGAGACUACCAUGUUCCAGUUGCCAAGAUGGUGUUAAGUCAAAGGUUGGACUUGAUGAUCUCAGAGGUCUUUUCCAACCUAAUUUAUCCUGUGGUUCUGGGAACGAAGGGCAACCUCCCACCAGCAGUAUUUGUUUUCCAUGAGAAGAUCGUCAGCAAGAACACCGGGAUUUUGCAGGUGCAAGAUCAUGAGACCUACAUCACAAGAACAGUAGCAUGGGAAACCAAGGGAGGUCCACGCCCACAGAGGUGCUGAGAAGACUGCUGCAACAGCUGAGGAGAGAGGCCUCAGAGUUGCAAACAGUGGGGCUUUAGCAUUACUAAGGCAAUAAACACUAAGAUACCCAAGGUACAGUGCAGCAACACCAGCCUCCUUAUCCUGAGACUGGAAUUUGAAGUAUCUUAGAAAAGAUUUUUUGUUUUCUUCUCCUUUGUCCUGUAAAAGUGGUAUUCCAGGGAUGACAAGAUAUGGGUAGAUUUUUAUGGGAGGAUAAAUCCAUUUGCAAAGAAAAAAGACAAGAUAGACAUUCUCUUGGAUUAUAUCCUGAAGAUAAAGCUUUAAAAUGUAAUUUGAAAUGUUUUGACAAUUCACAAUACCUCUUUUUGGAAUAUAACAUUUUUUAUUUUGUUUUAGAAUAUUUUUAAAACUGUUUUAUUUAGGUUUUUUUUUUAGUCUGAAAGGUUAGUGCCAAUUACACUGAUUUCUUCAACUUGAGAAAAAUCUAAACAGUAAGUGAAAAAAUUUCUUUGGUCAGUCUAAAGCACAGUGCAUUGCAGUCAGUGCUGAUGUGCAAUUUGGUGGCUACUGUUGUCUGCUUCCAUAGAGCAAAAGAAGAUCAAUCUCUAAAUACAGAAAUUUCAGUUUUGCCUGCUAACGACACAUUUUUAAAUGCAUUUCAGUUUUACUGGCAAAUGUUCCUACCUGUAGAAGAUAUAGCAUAUUGGAAUGAAAAACCUCCAGAUAAAUCAUGGUUUAAGUAUAAGCAGAUUAGUAUUAAAUGAAACACAAAUAGAUGCAUUUACUCUGGGAAGCUCCCAAACUAAUGGACAGACAAAAUUGCCUAGAAAGAUGCAGAAAAUGUCAGUGACAUUCUGUGUGUAUGGGUGAAAGUCAGUGGCGAGUUACAGAGAAAAUGUAUUACAUUCCAGAAGAAUAGCUAUUUGGAGCAAUAUUUAAAAAAAAAAAAAAAUGUUAGGAGUCUGUUCAGUGGGAAGCAGGAGCUCAUGCUGCUCUAGAAGCUGGGGAGAGGAACAGAAAGAAGGCAGGAUGUGAGGGAUGAAACAUGGUGUGAUGGAAGACAACAGGACAAGAAACAGAUCUUUUCUUUACUUGGAGGCUGAGGUGGGAAUUUAGAGGCAAUUUUUUAGGUGCUGAUUGAAUGUUGUUUCUUUUUCCCUCACACUGAUAUUUUUUUUCCCAAGGAAUCACAGAGUCCAAAGAAUUUGUAGGCAACAUGCAGCUAGUGGCAAGAAGUUUAAGGGGAUAUGCUGGGGGAUGGAAGAGCUGAAGGAAGGAGACUAAGUAGAACUUUCAUUCCCCAUACUUGAAACAUUUUAGUCAUUGUCAAAACAGAAGCAGCCUUCAUUCUUUUUGUGCAGUUAUCACAGGAAGAAAAAAUAUUUAGCUGAGGAAUGACACAUUUUUCCUUCAAUAUGUUUUCCUGUGGUGCUCUUACGUGGAAGCUUCCCAGUCAACUUAAAGUAAGCUUGAGUAUCCUUUUUUUAGACAAAUAUAAGGACCUGUAUAUAAGUUUGUUCUAAACUGUCUCUUGAAUUCAUCACUGGGUGACUGAUGUCUUUGCAGUCGUACACAGAAAUUCUUGUAUUGUGCCUUCCUUUCUGCAUAUGUGCUUUCCUACACAGGACCUUUUCAAUCUUCCAGUGGCAUCCUGACCUGUGUCAAAAAUAACGUGGAGAGCAGUACUAGGAAGUGAUUCUCUCCCUGUACUCACCACUAGUGAGGCCGCAUCAGUUUUGGCCCCCCCAAUUCAGGAAGGAUAUUGAGGUGCUGGAGCAGGUGUAGAGAAGGGCAGCAAAGCUGGUGAAGAGUUUGGAGCAGAAGUCCUAUGAGGAGCAGCUGAGGGAGUUGGGGGUGUUUAGCCUGGAGAAGAGGAGGCUCAGGGACAACAUUAUUGGUCUCUACAAGUACCUGAAAGGAGGUUGUUGCGAGGUGGGGUUUGGCUUCUUUUCCCAGGCAACUAAUGACAGGAUAAGAGGACAUAGUCUUAAGCUGUGACAGGGGAGUUUUAAGUGGGACAUUAGGAAGAAAUUCUUCACAGAAAGGGUGAUUAGACAUUGGAAUGGGCUACCUAGGGUAUUGGUGGAGUCACUGUUCCUGAAAGUGUUUAAGGAACAAUUGGACGUGGGACUUAGUGCCAUGGCCUAGUUGACAUGGUGAUGUUCAGUCAUAGGUCAGAAUCGAUGAUCUCAGAGGUCUUUUCCAGCCUAAUUGAUUCUGUGAUUCUGUGAUAAAUGAGUAUCUUAAGGUCUUCUCCUCCAAGAAAAAAUUUAUAAAAUCCCUCAAGGUCUGAAAGAUGGGGUGAUUUUUAAUAUCUUCAAACUUAUGUUAUAUCUGUAGCACUGAGACAUUUCCCAGUAGGCACAUUUUGAAUCCUUUGGCAGCGAUGAGUAACUUAUUGUUAUACAAACUGUACCAUUAAAUUUCCUGUGAUACGUCUUUUCUACUACCUUACUUUGGGUCUUAAUGAAAUUUGAACUUGGAUUGCUUCCAUCUGAGUCUGGAUCAUUAAUUUUCUUUGUGUGAUGGCUUAUGCUCCAGCUCAUCUUUUUUGUCUCAUGUUGUUUCUUCUGCCAGUAAAUAUGGGUUUGGAGUGAAAUUUGGCUUGUAUUUGGACUCUGUCCCAAAACUCUGUUACAACUCAAUGUGAAUGCUCUUCCACAGUUGUACUAGAAUAUUUGGUGCUUUACUUUACUCUUUCUGACAUGUUCAAAUACUAUUUUAGCAUUUUUUGUUCUUUUCCUUCUUUCCUUAGUCUCACAAUGAGAAGGAAAAAAACCAAAACUAAAUAAAAAACAAAACCCAAACUAAAGAAAGGAAAAAAAAAAAGAAAGAAAAAAGAAAAAUAACUGCAAGAUAUUUAUAACCCACUGCAGGAUGAAUAACUUGAUUGUUACAAAGACUGUCAAGGAUCAAUAUGAAUACAUCUUCUGUGAUUAAGUUUUAAAAAAUUAAGAAGCAAAAUAGCUUUGUAGCAAAGUAAAACCAGCUCUACAGUGUAGUGCCUUACAUUUUCCAUAUUUUAGUAGUGCCAUACAUUUCCAAUUUUAGUAACUUUUAUAAUUCUAUAGAUGGCAGAUGUUGAGAAUAAAAAGAACAUUUAUUAUGAAAUCAGUAGAUACUUAUAUAC
Long non-coding RNA from Myiozetetes cayanensis, 4279 nucleotides. RefSeq lists it as uncharacterized. Lineage: Eukaryota; Metazoa; Chordata; Aves; Passeriformes; Tyrannidae. The transcript has 9 exons. The record is from RefSeq and is a predicted model, not a curated record.